UACAGAGGGUGCGAGCGUUAAUCGGAAUUACUGGGCGUAAAGCGCACGUAGGUGGUUGAUUAAGUCGAUUGUGAAAUACCUGGGCUUAACCUGGGAACUGCAGUUGAUACUGGUCGACUAGAGUAUGGUAGAGGGAAGUGGAAUUUCCGGUGUAGCGGUGAAAUGCGUAGAUAUCGGAAGGAACACCAGUGGCGAAGGCGACUUCCUGGACUAAUACUGACACUGAGGUGCGAAAGCGUGGGUAGCGAACAGG
This 253-nucleotide ribosomal RNA is filed under the name uncultured bacterium. RNAcentral describes it as "partial 16S ribosomal RNA". It matches the Rfam family "Bacterial small subunit ribosomal RNA", at positions 524 to 776 of the family's 1533-position model. The record is from RNAcentral.